UUAGGAGGCUUUGAAUUGCAAUUGAAAAUCAAUGCCAAUAAAUUUAGAACCCAAAAUAUAGUAUAAUUAUAUAUCAAACAUUUAUAUACAUAUUAUGUAUAAAAAAGUCAAUAAUUUGAGUGAAUAGUAAUAUGUGAAUAAUAACCCCAAAGACAUAAGAAAUAAUAAUAUAAAUUAAUACUUUGCAUAAUUAAUGGCAUAUGAGAACCAAGAAGAAUGUUUUUGAGUAUAAUGGUUUAUGAAAACCAUUGCUGUGAAUUGUGAUGAAUAUGGGUGAUAUAAUGAAUGUAUAAAUUAUUAUGAAUGUAGAAUUGUAUUUUAGAAAUUUAUACUUCUGCUAGUAAUGAAAAUUAAAAAGUUAUAAAUUAUAACUGGAACAUAUAAUGAAAUAAUGAUACUUAUGAACCGUUUAAAGGUACUAAUGUGCCUAUGUAUUGUCUAGACACGUAUGUCAGAUUGGAUAGAUUGACAUGCCAAUAGUGUAUUGUUUUAGCAGUACUGCGCAAGGCUUUAUGCUUGUAUUCAUGGCUUUAUGCCUGCACUCAUGGCUUUACGCCCGUACUCAUGGCUUUAAUGCUCGAUUAUGUGUUAUCAUGGCUUUU
This 602-nucleotide unclassified non-coding RNA is filed under the name Hevea brasiliensis (rubber tree). The record is from RNAcentral. Lineage: Eukaryota; Viridiplantae; Streptophyta; Magnoliopsida; Malpighiales; Euphorbiaceae.